UGAGGAAUAUUGGUCAAUGGGCGAAGGCCUGAACCAGCCAAGUAGCGUGAAGGAUGACUGCCCUAUGGGUUGUAAACUUCUUUUAUAAAGGAAUAAAGUGCAGCACGUGUGCUGUUUUGUAUGUACUUUAUGAAUAAGGAUCGGCUAACUCCGUGCCAGCAGCCGCGGUAAUACGGAGGAUCCGAGCGUUAUCCGGAUUUAUUGGGUUUAAAGGGAGCGUAGAUGGAUGUUUAAGUCAGUUGUGAAAGUUUGCGGCUCAACCGUAAAAUUGCAAUUGAUACUGGAUGUCUUGAGUACAGUUGAGGUAGGCGGAAUUCGUGGUGUAGCGGUGAAAUGCUUAGAUAUCACGAAGAACUCCGAUUGCGAAGGCAGCUUACUAAACUGCAACUGACAUUGAGGCUCGAAAGUGUGGGUAUCAAACAGG
RNAcentral lists this ribosomal RNA (424 nucleotides) under uncultured Bacteroides sp. RNAcentral describes it as "bacterial SSU rRNA". It matches the Rfam family "Bacterial small subunit ribosomal RNA", at positions 355 to 776 of the family's 1533-position model. Lineage: Bacteria; Pseudomonadati; Bacteroidota; Bacteroidia; Bacteroidales; Bacteroidaceae. The record is from RNAcentral.